AUGUACAUUCUUACAACAUAAUGUUAAUACACCAGAUGCCAUUAGAAAUUUGCAUUUAAGCGCACUCGGUUUAGAGUAGUACUGGGAUGGGUGACCACCCAAUAAUUUCUAGUGUUUUACAUG
Picea glauca (white spruce) is the source of this 123-nucleotide non-coding RNA. The record is from Rfam. Lineage: Eukaryota; Viridiplantae; Streptophyta; Pinopsida; Pinales; Pinaceae.